This 181-nucleotide unclassified non-coding RNA is filed under the name Ambisporaceae sp. RNAcentral's name for it is "partial contains 5.8S ribosomal RNA and internal transcribed spacer 2". The stretch from base 1 to 71 matches the Rfam family "5.8S ribosomal RNA", at positions 84 to 154 of the family's 154-position model. The record is from RNAcentral. Lineage: Eukaryota; Fungi; Glomeromycota; Glomeromycetes; Archaeosporales; Ambisporaceae.
GUGAAUCAUCAAAUCUUUGAACGCAUAUUGCACUCUCUGGUAUUCCGGAGAGUAUGCCUGUUUGAGGGUCAUUAAAAAGAAUCUUUAACCAAUUUUUUUGGUCAAAGGAAAUGAGUUCGCCGCGUUUAUAGCGGUAGCUUGAGAUAAAUGUUAGUCACAUUUUAGUCGAGAAGCGUAAUAA